GAUGAACGCUGGCGGCGUGCUUAAUACAUGCAAGUCGAGCGAAGCGCUUUAACGGAAUUCUUCGGAUGAAGAGGUUUGUGACUGAGUGGCGGACGGGUGAGUAACGCGUGGGCAACCUGCUUCAUACAGGGGGAUAACAGUUAGAAAUGACUGCUAAUACCGCAUAAGACCACGGAGCCGCAUGGCUCAGUGGGAAAAACUCCGGUGGUAUGAGAUGGACCCGCGUCUGAUUAGGUAGUUGGUGGGGUAACGGCCUACCAAGCCAACGAUCAGUAGCCGACCUGAGAGGGUGACCGGCCACAUUGGGACUGAGACACGGCCCAAACUCCUACGGGAGGCAGCAGUGGGGAAUAUUGCACAAUGGGGGAAACCCUGAUGCAGCGACGCCGCGUGAGCGAAGAAGUAUUUCGGUAUGUAAAGCUCUAUCAGCAGGGAAGAAAAUGACGGUACCUGACUAAGAAGCACCGGCUAAAUACGUGCCAGCAGCCGCGGUAAUACGUAUGGUGCAAGCGUUAUCCGGAUUUACUGGGUGUAAAGGGAGCGUAGACGGCUGUGUAAGUCUGAAGUGAAAGCCCGGGGCUCAACCCCGGGACUGCUUUGGAAACUAUGCAGCUAGAGUGUCGGAGAGGUAAGUGGAAUUCCCAGUGUAGCGGUGAAAUGCGUAGAUAUUGGGAGGAACACCAGUGGCGAAGGCGGCUUACUGGACGAUGACUGACGUUGAGGCUCGAAAGCGUGGGGAGCAAACAGG
Molecule: ribosomal RNA, 748 nt
Filed under: uncultured Lachnospiraceae bacterium
Lineage: Bacteria; Bacillati; Bacillota; Clostridia; Lachnospirales; Lachnospiraceae
Description: bacterial SSU rRNA
Rfam family: Bacterial small subunit ribosomal RNA
Source: RNAcentral